Molecule: non-coding RNA, 1717 nt
Organism: Pelobates cultripes (western spadefoot toad)
Lineage: Eukaryota; Metazoa; Chordata; Amphibia; Anura; Pelobatidae
Source: the annotation of a GenBank genome assembly
UUUUUUUAGAUUUAUUUUCAGAUUAAUGUUAUAUGUUUCAUAUAGCAAUAUUUUAUGUCAAAUGAAAGCCCUGCUUCUCCUGAACAAAAUUAUAUAUAAUAGGUGUGGGUGCACUUAAUAAGAAACAGGUGAUUUAUGGUUGAACAGACAUGCAGCUCACAUUUUAUGUUUUGCGUUGGCUUAGAACAUGUACCAUUGCCUCCGUCCUUAGUAGGGUUAACAGGGGUAACAGCCUUGAUAUAAUGUUUAUAAAACAACAACUGAAAAAUUUAAAAUCAUGUUAUCUUAACAUGAAAAUGGCCUACCCCUACAACUAAAUUUUUCUAAUAUUAAAAUAAAUUUUUUAUGUUAAUUUAAUUCUAAUUAAUAUCAUAAAACUGUAUGUAUUUCAAUAAAUACUAGAAUGUUGGUUGCUCCAAUAUUCUAUUGCAUUGGUUCCUUAUGAUGUAAAACAUCUUGCUUAAACAUAUUGCUACCAAGUUUUUUUAAAACCAGUAAAUUUAUUUGAAACAUGGGAGAAAUGUAUAGAUAAAUAUUUGGCAGAAACAGUAAUUUUGUGUCUAGGCUGCUAUCCAAAGAUUAAAAAAAUGAUAUAAUUUGCAUUACUUAAAUUUAUACUUUAUUAUUUCAUACUUUACAUAAAUGUUUAGGUGCUAUUAGUGAAUGUGCAGUAUUUAUUUUAGUUCAAACUCUGAAACAGAGCUUAAAAUGUUAAUAUAGAAGUGGAUAUUUUAUCACCUACAAGAGACAAGACAUAAAAAAUGGUGAAAUACUCUGCUCAUGUGUACUUGGAAGGAUCCCAUUGGGAUGUAUUCAGCAUCCUAAAAAUAACACCAGAAAAUAGAAGCUAAUAUUUGUGAGUUGGUGUAAACCCCAUAUUCAGUAAAUACAGUUAUAUCUGCAACAUAGUACAAUUCUGCUGCAGCUUGCAGUAUCCCUAUAGUAUACCUAGAAUGGGUUGGUUAACACUUAAAGUGUGUGUGAAUAUAUAUAUAUAUAUAUAUUGGAUAGUCAAUAUAUUGUAAAACACAGAUCUGUACACCAGUCAAGUCAUAAGACUUGCUUUUCCCACUGAAAUAUCAAAUUUGCAGUGAUGUUACAACUGCACUGGAUUCUGGGUGGGCAUAGGUAAAUUAGAGAGAGAGAGAUAACUUACCCUACUGAAAGCAGGAAGUCGAUCAGUUAAUUAAACAGAUGUGUAUACAUCAUGAUUAUGAGCUAAACUAAUAUAAUGAUCUGUAUGAAAAAAUAUAACAGCUUUGACAUAGUAAACCUUUCAGGAACUCUUUAAGGUGGGAAAAGCUUAAAGACAAGAGUUAUGUUCCGUUUUAAGAAAAUGUUUUAACUUACUGCCUGUAUUAUAUUGUUGUUUUAUUAAAUGGCAAUAAAGCUAUUUCCAUUUUCACCCAUGCAAACAAGUAUUUGAUAUAUUACGUAAGCUUUGAUAUUACAUUACAAUGUUUUGAUACUGUAUAUAUAAUCACUCUCUAUAUAUAAAUCUGUAUAGAUCAAUCAGUCAAAAUGUUUGUGUGUGUAUAACUUUAUUUAUAUAACACUGAAUGUUCGUAUUAUUAUCUCUUAUUUUGAGUACUUGAUGAACAUUCUAAGCCUUUUCAAGCCACAUUAAAUGAAGUAGACAAAAAUGUAUUAUUAUUAUUAUUAUUAUUAUUAAUUUAAGGCACAGUACCUUACAUAUAUAUUUUGUGUUCAUCUGGGC